UAAGUAUAAACAAAUUUUAUUACAUUAUUUAUGCCAUUAGACAAAAUUGAAUGUAUAAAUGUGUGAACAUAAUAAAAAAAAAUAUCCCUUACAUAUUUAAAAAAGACACGACUUGCAUAAUUAAUUUAAAAAACGGUCCACUUUCAGAAGAAAAAAAUAUUAGCCAAUGAAGCUAAGCCUUGCCAGCCGAAAAAAAAAUAUGAUGAAAUUAGAUUUUCCAUAACUCAUCUAGUUUUUAAGAUCUAAGCGUGUCAGACUGACUGACAGACAGGUUUAAACUGUGAAGGUCCACCAAAAAAAUUAAUUAAAUGGUUUGAUUAAAAAAAAAUGUAUGAUCCUUUUUAAUUGUUUUUCACCUAUGUUUUUGUUU
Molecule: non-coding RNA, 370 nt
Organism: Biomphalaria pfeifferi
Lineage: Eukaryota; Metazoa; Mollusca; Gastropoda; Planorbidae
Source: the annotation of a GenBank genome assembly